ACCUGCCCACUGAAAUUAUUUAAAUGGCCGCAGUAUUCUAACUGUGCAAAGGUAGCAUAAUCAUUAGUCUUUUAAUUGAAGGCUGGUAUGAACGGUUGGACGAGGUAUAAGCUGUUUCAUAUAAAUUUAUAAUAGAAUUUUAUAUUUUAGUCAAAAAGCUAAAAUUUAAUUAAAAGACGAGAAGACCCUAUAAAUCUUUAUACUUUAGGUUGUUUAGAUUUUUUAGAUUUAUUUUAUUUUUAUAAUUUAAAGUAUUUUGUUGGGGUGAUGUUAAAAUUUAAUGAACUUUUAAUUAUUGAAAAUCAUUAAUUUAUGAAUUAUUGAUCCAUUAAUAGUGAUUAUAAGAUUAAGUUACUUUAGGGAUAACAGCGUAAUUUUUUUGGAGAGUUCAUAUCGAUAAAAAAGUU
Molecule: ribosomal RNA, 407 nt
Filed under: Bactrocera recurrens
Lineage: Eukaryota; Metazoa; Arthropoda; Insecta; Diptera; Tephritidae
Description: partial large subunit ribosomal RNA
Source: RNAcentral